UAGAGUUUGAUCCUGGCUCAGAGCGAACGCUGGCGGCAGGCUUAACACAUGCAAGUCGAACGGUCCUUCGGGAUAGUGGCGGACGGGUGAGUUAACACGUGGGAACGUACCCUUAGGNUUCGGAACAACACAGGGCAAACUUGUGCUAAUACCGGAUAAGCCCUUCGGGGGAAAGAUUUAUCGCCUUUGGAGCGGCCCGCGUCUGAUUAGCUUGUUGGUGAGGUAAUGGCUCACCAAGGCUACGAUCAGCAGCUGGUCUGAGAGGAUGGCCAGCCACACUGGGACUGAGACACGGCCCAGACUCCUACGGGAGGCAGCAGUGGGGAAUCUUGCGCAAUGGGCGAAAGCCUGACGCAGCCAUGCCGCGUGGAUGAUGAAGGUCUUAGGAUUGUAAAAUCCUUUCACCGGGGACGAUAAUGACGGUACCCGGAGAAGAAGCCCCGGCUAACUUCGUGCCAGCAGCCGCGGUAAUACGAAGGGGGCUAGCGUUGCUCGGAAUUACUGGGCGUAAAGGGCGCGUAGGCGGACAGUUGAGUUGGGGGUGAAAGCCCGGGGCUCAACCUCGGAAAUGCCUUCAAUACUGGCUGUCUUGAGUACGGGGGAGGUGAGUGGAACUCCGAGUGUAGAGGUGAAAUUCGUAGAUAUUCGGAAGAACACCAGUGGCGAAGGCGACUCACUGGCCCGUUACURACGCCKAGGCGCGAAAGCGUGGGGAGCAAACAGGAUUAGAUACCUUGGUAGUCCACGCCGUAAACUAUGAGUGCUAGUUGUCGGCAUGCAUGCAUGUCGGUGACGCAGCUAACGCAUUAAGCACUCCGCCUGGGGAGUACGGUCGCAAG
This 839-nucleotide ribosomal RNA is filed under the name uncultured bacterium. RNAcentral's name for it is "bacterial SSU rRNA". It matches the Rfam family "Bacterial small subunit ribosomal RNA", at positions 1 to 892 of the family's 1533-position model. The record is from RNAcentral.